UCAUAGACUAUGCUCGUGUCAUGGACUGGACGGAAGGAAGAGUACUUUUGUUUUGCUGAACACUAAUGUGCUUGUUAUUCAUUCGUCUAUGACAUUGUAAACAGAGGAGAGCAGCUUUGUCGUAAGCCUCAGUUAGCUGCAAGACUUGCUAUAGGGAAAUACAGAUAUGGGAGCAUUGGUGAUAAGGUGUCUCACGAGCAGUUGACUAUAUUACUUUCCAAGCUAUGAAAUAAGUGGACGAAACCAUAAUGUGAAAUUCAUUAUUCCAUCUCCAGGAAACACAGAUGUUGGUCCAAAGGCUGCUGACAAAGGUUUCAAAUGCGAUGAUGGUGUUUGGUAUCUCGACCAUCUAGAUGUCCCUUGGGAUGAAACAUAUAAUGCUGAUCAACUUGAAGGAAUACAUGAUUCUUCCAAGCAAAAGCUUGUCCCUUGGAGGAGAGGUAUGCAUAUGGGGUAAGACUGGUGAUCCAUCCAAUGUUUAACAAACAAUAUGGCCUCGAACUGCUGCAAGUAUAAUAUAUGUAGUAAAAACUAGAUAAUCACUACAACAUAUGUUUAAGUUGUAAAAUAGAACCCAAGCUACACUUUCUGUGAAAAUGGGUAUUUGGUAUUGGCAGAAGUACUCUAGUUGCAUUUAUUUGUCAAUUCUUGUGUGCUUGCAUAUUUGUGAUAAAUGUGCAUUUCUUGCUUUCACAUCUCGAUACCAGUUGUUGAAUUGUUUGAAGGUGACCUUUAUACUUCCCUGUAUGUAGCAUGGUUAAUGCCAUGUUGGCACUCUACUUGUUGCUCUUCAAUACUGCAUUAGGAUCCAGAAAAAUAUUAUACAGUUGUUGAAUUCUUAUCCCCGACCC
Molecule: long non-coding RNA, 851 nt
Organism: Argentina anserina (silverweed cinquefoil)
Lineage: Eukaryota; Viridiplantae; Streptophyta; Magnoliopsida; Rosales; Rosaceae
Exons: 4
Source: RefSeq, a predicted model, not a curated record